This 73-nucleotide transfer RNA is filed under the name Jhaorihella thermophila. RNAcentral's name for it is "Rhodovulum thermophilus tRNA". It matches the Rfam family "tRNA". Rfam says of the family: Transfer RNA (tRNA) molecules are approximately 80 nucleotides in length. The record is from Rfam by way of RNAcentral. Lineage: Bacteria; Pseudomonadati; Pseudomonadota; Alphaproteobacteria; Rhodobacterales; Paracoccaceae.
GGGGCCGUAGCUCAGUUGGGAGAGCGCGUCGCUCGCAUUGACGAGGUCAGGGGUUCGAUUCCCCUCGGCUCCA